GACAGAGGUGGCUAGCGUUGUUCGGAUUCAUUGGGUGUAAAGGGUGCGUAGGCGGUUUGGAAAGUUAGAUGUGAAAGCCCACAGCUUAACUGUGGAAAUGCAUCUAAAACUUCUAGACUAGAGUGCGAGAGAGGUGAAGGGAAUUCCCGGUGUAAGGGUGAAAUCUGCAGAGAUCGGGAGGAACACCAGUAGCGAAGGCGCUUCACUGGCUCGUAACUGACGCUGAGUGCACGAAGGUAUGGGGAGCAAACGGG
Molecule: ribosomal RNA, 254 nt
Filed under: uncultured bacterium
Lineage: Bacteria
Description: partial 16S ribosomal RNA
Rfam family: Bacterial small subunit ribosomal RNA
Source: RNAcentral